UACAGAGGGUGCAAGCGUUGUUCGGAAUUACUGGGCGUAAAGGGUGCGUAGGCGGCUUUCUAAGUUGGAUGUGAAAACUCUGGGCUCAACCCAGAGCCUGCAUCCAAAACUGGAGAGCUAGGGUUCUGGAGGGGAAAGCGGAAUUCCUGGUGUAGCGGUGAAAUGCGUAGAUAUCAGGAGGAACACCGGUGGCGAAGGCGGCUUUCUGGACAGAUACCGACGCUGAGGCACGAAAGCUAGGGGAGCAAACAGG
This 253-nucleotide ribosomal RNA is filed under the name uncultured bacterium. Its description in RNAcentral is "partial 16S ribosomal RNA". It matches the Rfam family "Bacterial small subunit ribosomal RNA", at positions 524 to 776 of the family's 1533-position model. The record is from RNAcentral.